UUAAAGAAAGUUUGGGCAAUGCUAGGAGAUCAUGACAAUAACUCUGAUAGGGAAACAAAUCUCCACAGGAGACCGCCUCAUUGGCAAGACGAUCUGCAAUUUCGUUACCUCUUAUCCCACAGUGACUAGGAAUCCAGGCGAAACAAACAUUCAGGCCAAGUGAAAUACAUUCAUAAAAUAACUUUCUAAUGUCAUAUAUUACAGGGUACUGGUUUCUGGAUUUAAAAGGAAAUUGAUUUAAAGCUUGAAGUGCGCUCAUGGAAUCCGUAAAAAUGACAACAUUUUUAAGUCUAUAUAAUUUUGCAUAUUCUAUUGCUCUGAAAAGGCCAAAGCAUUCCCCCGUAAAGACGGAGGAUUCUGGAGGUAAUUUGACUUUUUGGACAAUUUUAUACUGCGAGUGGAAAACCCCGACUCCAGUAAUUUCUGUGCAAGAAUGUUUAGAUGCGUCUGUAUAUAUGUGAUGAAAACCAUUAUAAUCUGUGUCUAAAAUUUCAUUAAAUUUGGAUACAAUGUUUAGAUCUUGCUUAUCAAUUGGGAGAAAACAAAUAUUUAUAGGGACUAAGAGAGAUUCAAUACUGCAAUGAAACAAUGGUAAGUGUUUUGAACGGAAUAUGGGAGAGGACAGAGACAUUAAUUUAUUGUAGCUGUGCAAAAGACAAGGAAUAGUUUUAUGUUUCCAAUAGUCUGAAAUGGGAACUUUUUCUGAUAAGCAGUGAAGUUUUGGGAAAAGUUGAUGAUUUGAGAAAUUGAAUGUACGAAAGAGGAAUUUAUCACACAGAAACUGCCGUCUAAAUUUGAGAGGAGGAUCACAACAUUCAACUUGAAGCGCAUUUACUGGACUACUUUUCAUGGCACCUGUUACAAUUCUGAGAGCUUUUGACUGUAUCAGAUCUAAUUUUUUAAAAGCAGAUUUAUUGCCUGGCUCGAGAAGAAACAUGCCGUAGUCCAGAACACUUCUGAUGAGAGCAUUGUAUAUAAGCUUCAUUGAAAAAGGGUGAGCUCCCCACCAAACUCCAGAUAAACAUCUGAGAAUAUUUAUUCUUUUUUCACACUUUUCUGCAAUAUACUCGCAGUGUUGAUUUCCAGUCAGUUUUGAGUCUAGAAUUACUCCCAGAAAUUUGUGAUGAGGUUUUACAGGAAUCAAAUCAUUAUCAUAAGAAAUUUGGACAGGAGGUGGAUUUCUCAAUCUUGAAAAAAUUACUGUGGCACUUUUAUUAGCAGAUAAGUUUAAUCCAUUAUUAUCAAGCCAGGAUUUUAAAUUAGAUAGUGAAGAAGUAAGUGCUGACGCAGCAACUUCUAUUUUCUUAUCAAUAUUAUAAAACAGCAAGUCAUCAGCAUAUUGUAAAACUUUUGUAUUAUUAUUGGAAAUUGAUGAUGCCAAAUCGUGAGUGUAAGCGUUAUAUAACAAAGGGCUAAGAACAGAGCCUUGUGGAAGUCCUUUCCAACAAGUGCGACUAAACGUGGAGCCAUCCUGUGAAAGUUCUAGACACCUUUCAUAUAAGAUGUUAAUGAUAAAGUUACUAAGCAUUGUGGGAACUUUUAAGGCGUAGAGUUUUUUAAGCAAUAUUGGGAUUAUCACGUUAUCAUAAGCGGAAUUUAUAUCUAAAAAAGUUGCAACAACUGACUGGUUAUCAGAGAAUGCAAGCCUAAUAUCGGUGAUAAAUAAACUAAUAUUGUCCAUAGUACUUUUUCCCUUUCUGAAUCCAAACUGGUUAACAGCCAGUAAAUCAUUACUCUCAAAAAACCAUUCAAGCCGAUUCUUUACCAGAUGUUCAGCUAAUUUCAAUAAUACUGAGGACAGAACUAUUGGACGGUAUGAAGAUGGGUCAGAUGGGGACUUAUUUGGUUUAAGAACUGGCAACACUUUUUGGGACUUCCAUGACAGAGGGACACUAUUACCUGUCAACGCAAUAGAAUUGAUAAUUUGUAAAUAAUAGGAGAGAACAUGAUCAUUUAAAUUAUGAAAGAAGGAGUACGGAAUACCAUCUACACCUGGAGACGAAUCAGUUACAUUUUGGAUGAUUCCCUUGAGUUCAAACAGUGUAAAUGGCUGUUCAAUAACAGACACAGCGACUGGCGAUGGAGUUAUAGUUAGUUUUUCAGGGACCCAUGGAGGAGCCAGUUUAUCAACAAAUGGACAAGCAAUUUCUAACGGGAUAAAUGGGUGGGAAGAAUCUGUCAUUGCAGAUUUAAAUCGACGAAUGUUUUGCCAUACUAUCGAAGAUGGCGUUUCAGGGGAAAUUGAUAAGCAAAACUUUCUCCAGCUCUCAAACUUUUUCUUUUUAAAAAGUUCUCGAGUUUCUUCAAUAACUUUACCCAAUUCUGAAUAAUUUUCAUUUGUCAUAUUUGCUUUAUAGUUGCGCUCAGCAGCCUUUCUUUUUUUGAUGGCCUCUGUACAGUCACUGUCCCACCAUGGUUGUGGGGGAAGCUUACGAUUAGGUACUUUUAACGGAAAAGCUCUGUUCGCAGAUUCAACUAAUAUAUUGGUAAAGGACAAGGCACAAGUGGAUUCAUUUCCUGAAGAGACAAUUGGGAGAGACGAUAGAUAGUUCUCAACACCUUCUUUAAAAGUAUUCCAAGCAUUACUAGUUUUGUCUGGUAAUCUGUGUUUAAGUAAUGGAACAUACUUAGAUGUUAUAGGACUAUUAAAUGGAAAAGUAAUUAAUAUGGGGAAGUGGUCACUGCCAUAUGAUGAGGGUAGAGUUUGCCAAGAUAACAGAGAGGCUAGGCUAGGGGAACAUAUUGACAAAUCAACAGCACUUUGACUUUGGCCUGGACUGGUAAAACGGGUAGGAGAUCCUGUAUUUAAUGUACAUAAGUUAUGAGUGUCAAUUAUAUCUAAUAACAUUUCCCCAUAGUUAUUUGAAAUAGAACUGCCCCAUGCACGAUGAUGACAGUUAAAAUCUCCUAAGAUGAUCAGAGGUUUAGGGAGAGUUGAGAUUAAUUGAUCAAUUUCACUUAAGAUAGAAGAAGAGGGGUGAGGACUAGAGGACAGAGCGUCUGCGUAGGACUUGGAGACUGGAGGGUGGAGCUUGGAUGCCUCUGCAUACGAGAUGGAAUUUUCAGCCAUAUAAGCCUUGAUUUUCUUUUGGCGGACAAAUUCUGGGCAUGACUUACUAGUUGCAUAGUGGAAACCAGAACAAAGACAGCAGGAGGCUUGGUCUUCAUGGAUGGAGCAAGAAUCACCAAUGUGGGCUUGCCCACAUUUAAAACAGCGGGGCUGGGACCUACAUUGGGCCUUAGUAUGACCAAAUCGGCAACAAUUAAAACAUUGAAUUGUAGGAAAAAUGUACAAUUCCACUGACAAAGCAUUAUAGCAUACAAAAACUCGUUUAGGUAAAGAUUGUCCGUCAAAUGUUACUACGACUGAUUGGGAGGGUUUCCAAGAAACUGUACCAUUAAUAUAAGACUUAAAAUUCAA
This is a long non-coding RNA of Ostrinia nubilalis (European corn borer), 3421 nucleotides long. RefSeq lists it as uncharacterized. The transcript is spliced from 2 exons. Lineage: Eukaryota; Metazoa; Arthropoda; Insecta; Lepidoptera; Crambidae. The record is from RefSeq and is a predicted model, not a curated record.